RNAcentral lists this ribosomal RNA (449 nucleotides) under uncultured bacterium. RNAcentral's name for it is "partial 16S ribosomal RNA". It matches the Rfam family "Bacterial small subunit ribosomal RNA", at positions 29 to 523 of the family's 1533-position model. The record is from RNAcentral.
AACGAACGCUGGCGGCAGGCUUAACACAUGCAAGUCGAACGCCCUAGCAAUAGGGAGUGGCGCACGGGUGAGUAACGCGUGGGAAUGUACCUUUUAGUGGGGGAUAACUCCGGGAAACUGGAGCUAAUACCGCAUACGCCCUUCGGGGGAAAGAUUUAUCGCUAAAAGAUCAGCCCGCGUGAGAUUAGGUAGUUGGUGGGGUAAUGGCCUACCAAGCCUACGAUCUCUAGCUGGUCUGAGAGGAUGAUCAGCCACACUGGAACUGAGACACGGUCCAGACUCCUACGGGAGGCAGCAGUGGGGAAUAUUGGACAAUGGGGGAAACCCUGAUCCAGCCAUGCCGCGUGAGUGAUGAAGGCUUUAGGGUUGUAAAGCUCUUUCGCCGAUGAAGAUAAUGACGGUAGUCGGAGAAGAAGCCCCGGCUAACUUCGUGCCAGCCGCCGCAGUAA